UACGUAGGGCGCAAGCGUUGUCCGGAAUUAUUGGGCGUAAAGAGCUCGUAGGCGGUUUGUCGCGUCUGCUGUGAAAGCUCGGGGCUUAACCCCGGGCCUGCAGUGGAUACGGGCAGACUAGAGUGCGGUAGGGGAGACUGGAAUUCCUGGUGUAGCGGUGAAAUGCGCAGAUAUCAGGAGGAACACCGGUGGCGAAGGCGGAUCUCUGGGCCAUAACUGACGCUGAGGAGCGAAAGCGUGGGGAGCGAACAGG
RNAcentral lists this ribosomal RNA (253 nucleotides) under uncultured bacterium. RNAcentral describes it as "partial 16S ribosomal RNA". It matches the Rfam family "Bacterial small subunit ribosomal RNA", at positions 524 to 776 of the family's 1533-position model. The record is from RNAcentral.